Molecule: long non-coding RNA, 837 nt
Organism: Brienomyrus brachyistius
Lineage: Eukaryota; Metazoa; Chordata; Actinopteri; Osteoglossiformes; Mormyridae
Exons: 3
Source: RefSeq, a predicted model, not a curated record
GGUCAUGCAAGAAAACAGAAGACUGCAAGAGUGGAAAAGGGAGCAUUACUCAACCGCAUCCAGUCCUCCAAGCAACAGGGGGCGCAACAGUGCUGCACAAACUGGACGAACUGCAAAGUUGGUGGCACUGCCUCCUCUCUGGGCCCUGCAGGCUGUUGCCUGUGGGGAGAAAUAUCCAGCCCAAACUGAAAUCCAGAGUGAGCCUCCCAGUCAGAGCGCAGGACUUCAUGGACAGAGGAGGUGAGAUUGCCUCUCCAAAUAUCAGCUGUCAUAAUAUCAGAAUAUUUAGGAGCUUAUAUGUAUGUUUAACAUGACGUGUAUGUUUAUGCACAUAAGUGUUUAACACCACAUGUGUGUUUAUGUACAUGUAUGUUUCACGCGACAUAUGCUGUGUGUGCCCAGCUCAUGGACUGAGAGCAGGGGCCACGUUCAGCAUUUCCCGGCUCUGAGGGACAGCAGGGCCCUUUGGGGUCAGCCUGUGGAGCCCCAGUCCUGAAGUUCUCCCAUCAAGGUGCUCCUGAGUGCCCCCCUCCAUCUCGGCACUGAGCAAAGGAGCCACAACUCACUGAAAAGCGCAGUGAUGUUUCAGUGAUAAUGGCUUGCAGCCUUAAAGAUCAUCAUUUUGAAUGUCUAUAUGGCUCUUAAAAUGUAAUGUUCAUGUUUUUGCAUUGCAUUGAACUCACUUGGUCCCUGCAUAGAUCAACCAUAAAUGCAAAAUGACUCUGGCUAAAGAUCCUCUGGCCUGUUAUCAUCCAGAGCAGCAGAUUCAGAUCUGAUUGACAAUCAUGGGAAGCUGCCAGGUUUGGCCAGAUUUGAUCACAUGGCUAUGAGCGCAUG